This 476-nucleotide ribosomal RNA is filed under the name uncultured archaeon. RNAcentral describes it as "bacterial SSU rRNA". It matches the Rfam family "Archaeal small subunit ribosomal RNA", at positions 468 to 944 of the family's 1478-position model. The record is from RNAcentral.
CGGUAAUACCGGCGCCUCGAGUGGUAGUCGAUUUUAUUGGGCCUAAAACGUCCGUCGCCGGUCUGGUGCAUUCGUGGGUAAAUCAACCCGCUCAACGGGUUGAAUUCUGCGAGCACGGCCAGACUAGGGACCGGGAGAGGUGUGGGGUACGCUCGGGGUAGGGGUAAAAUCCUGUCAUCCCGAGCGGACCACCUGUUGCGAAGGCUCCACACUAGAACGGAUCCGACGGUCAGGGACGAAGCCUAGGGGCACGAACCGGAUUAGAUACCCGGGUAGUCCUAGGUGUAAACGCUGUGGACUUGGUGUUGGGAGCUCCCAGAGGGCUCUCAGUGCCGUAGCGAAGGUGAUAAGUCCACUGCCUGGGGAGUACGGUCGCAAGGCUGAAACUUAAAGGAAUUGGCGGGGGAACACCGCAACCUGAGGAUUGUGCGGUUUAAUUGGAUUCAACGCCGGAAAACUCACCAGUGCCGACGGAC